CAGCCGCCGCGGUAACACGGAGGGUGCAAGCGUUAAUCGGAAUUACUGGGCGUAAAGCGCACGCAGGCGGUUUGUUAAGUCAGAUGUGAAAUCCCCGAGCUUAACUUGGGAACUGCAUUUGAAACUGGCAAGCUAGAGUCUUGUAGAGGGGGGUAGAAUUCCAGGUGUAGCGGUGAAAUGCGUAGAGAUCUGGAGGAAUACCGGUGGCGAAGGCGGCCCCCUGGACAAAGACUGACGCUCAGGUGCGAAAGCGUGGGGAGCAAACAGGAUUAGAUACCCCGGUAGUCCCUGUCUCUUAUAC
Molecule: ribosomal RNA, 301 nt
Filed under: uncultured bacterium
Lineage: Bacteria
Description: partial 16S ribosomal RNA
Rfam family: Bacterial small subunit ribosomal RNA
Source: RNAcentral